GAAGAAUCCUUCUCACGCGGAAAUCUAUUUUCUAUCGAUAUCACGUGUUCCAAGUUGAUGCCUGUUCUGGUGAGGUUAAUAUUUUAAACUUUGUAAUUUGUGAUAAAUGUUGGUACAAGUGUGAGGUUAAUGCCAUACAAACUAGUUUAAAAGUGGACUCGUGUUCCAGUGAAGUCGUGUUUAGUUCCAAGGCGGUAUUCCUAACAUUUAUGUGUAAGUAUUUUUGAUGAGUGUGUGGUCUAUCCGGAGUGUUUUUAUUAUUGUUUGGACCCUUGCCUUACUCCUCUGAACAGGGUUUAUUUUUUUUAAAAUUUGCGACGAUUACUGUUCCUGUUGUGUUCAAUGUAUUAUUUAAUCUUAAUAUAUAUUUGUAUCAUAGGUCGAAGAAUGUGUUGUACUGUCCAUAAACGGACAUAUUUCUUCAUAUGCCUGUAUCUUAGCAUACACAGUCAACGAACAAUUUUUGAGUAGCUGAAGAAAGCUAGCAAAGACUAACGGUGCAAAUGUUGUUUACAACUUCCAUACUUGAUCGGAAUCUUGGACGAAAGUUCAAUCGUUUGGAGUUUGGCCUCAUGUAUACGUUCCUACAUGGCAACCUUCUUGACAAAACAAAGGUAUAAGGGGGUAAAAGGAUCACGUUACACACAAACGAUAAAGAAAUAUGAUUUGCAGGACCUGAUCAUUUCUGGUUUUUGGUAUUGGUUGUUUCCAAAAGGUUGGUAACGGGUAUAUCACAACCCACGGAGGGAAAAACAAUGAGCUUGUCGUUUCAAUAUUUGAAAAUAAAGGGAAAACAUAUAUGGUUACACCCCGUUUUGCAAUGCAGAUGGACCUUGAUUAUUAAUCUGACAUAUACACGAUUCAAAGUAGGUCUUGGAACAGACCACUACUGUUCAGACGUUAUAUCAUUUAUGGUGGUUGCGUUGAUGCAAGGUUAAACAAAAUGUGUAUUCAUAGCUUCGUGUGUAUUAAGCCAGCAUUCAAUGUUGGCUUUUGACGCUAAGGACUUAAAAUUUGAUUCCAGACAGAAUUUAUAAAGGUGUGGUCAAGGCCAUUGAUGCCACGGGACAGAAAAGUGAUCGUAUGGUAUCACCGGGGGUAAUCAUCGAUCCUCUUCCACCCAAAGGUUACGCUUGUAACCAAUUGUAACCGAUUUGAAAAAAAAAUCAGUUAAUAUCAUUGCAUUGUUAGAGAAGUCGAAGAAUCUUCGGACGAAGACCAAUGUUGCACAUUUAGACAAAGAUGCAAUAUAAAGAAUUGGAGGGUCUAUUGAAAAUACUUUUGCAGAUUUGGUUUUUCUUCAAACAAUUGUUUCAUGACCAGAGUCCAAUCUGCUCUAAAUGAAAAACACGUUACUGCAAAUGAUUAUAUUAAUUUUAAAAUAUCUUAGAAACAAUUUAUUUACAAAACUAUGCCACUUUUAUUGAAAACAAAGCAAGAGCACUUCGUGUUCAGCAAAUAAGACUGGACAAAUGUUCUCUUGAAGACAGUGGCAACUGCUCGCGGACUAACAUUACACAAUACAGAAACAUUAAACGUACAUGUCAGGGCUACAAACACAGGACAACAUAGAGGUGAGGCCGUUCACGCCACCCUAUUCACCAUCAUCCAUCCUCCUGUCUUGUCAGGAAUUCCAAUGCUUGCAUCUCGAAAUGACCAUAUUAUUCAUAUCGACUAGAAACAAACAAUCCAUACACUUCCGGAAAUUCCAGUUUUGCAUUGCCCAUUUGUGGGAUCAAAAGAAGGAUUCACCGACAUUCUUGACCUCAGCUUUUACACCUGACAUACGUAUGACAUUUUCGCUCCGUCGUCUACGAUAAUUUCUCCGAAGAUAUCAGAGUUGUUCCUUACUAUAACAUGUAUAUAUCCAACAGGGAUUUCGAGUGCUAACAGGACAAUAUUCACAAUGUAAUAAUUUACUUGUUCUACUGUCUUUACCCAGUGCCAUUAAACCGGGUUUAUGUUUAAACCUUUUGCUACUGAGCUUGUUUCUGUAGUUUUUCACAUAUGGGUAUUGGUUGUGGCAAUGCGUAAUGUUGCAAAGCUGUUGUUUGUUAUAGUUCAUUAUUUAGCAUUUAAUAUAUUCAUAGAUGAGCCUUACUGUAGUUUGAUUUUUCAUCUUAUUUUUGUUCUUGAAAUUUAUUCCAUUUUAAUGUCAUGUAUCAUUUAAACGUCAACUGUCGAACGACAGUUAAAGAACAAUGAACAGUUCGGAUUUCAUUUAAUAAUUAUUUUAUGUUAUUCCGUCCAUUGUAUUUGCUGUUUGGUUGUGUAGUAUAUAUUUUCCUUGUGGCUUAUGUACUAUGCGUAUGUUUACUUUUUAUAAGUUCGUGUACUUUUAUAGGAUUCCGUCCAAUGUAUUUGGUGAAUAAUUAUCUAUGUUGGUGUUUAUAGUUCUUUUGGCUUAGAUUUCCAUUGAUUUACGUUUUAUA
This is a long non-coding RNA of Mya arenaria, 2432 nucleotides long. RefSeq lists it as uncharacterized. Lineage: Eukaryota; Metazoa; Mollusca; Bivalvia; Myida; Myidae. The transcript is spliced from 4 exons. The record is from RefSeq and is a predicted model, not a curated record.